This 253-nucleotide ribosomal RNA is filed under the name uncultured bacterium. RNAcentral describes it as "partial 16S ribosomal RNA". It matches the Rfam family "Bacterial small subunit ribosomal RNA", at positions 524 to 776 of the family's 1533-position model. The record is from RNAcentral.
UACGAAGGGGGCUAGCGUUGCUCGGAAUGACUGGGCGUAAAGGGCGCGUAGGCGGAUUAUGUAGUCAGGCGUGAAAUUCCCGGGCUUAACCUGGGGGCUGCGUUUGAUACGCAUAGUCUAGAGUGCGGAAGAGGGUCGUGGAAUUCCCAGUGUAGAGGUGAAAUUCGUAGAUAUUGGGAAGAACACCGGUGGCGAAGGCGGCGACCUGGUCCGCAACUGACGCUGAGGCGCGAAAGCGUGGGGAGCAAACAGG